CGAUGAACCUCCUUCGGGAGGGGAUUAGUGGCGAACGGGUGAGUAACACGUGGGCAAUCUGCCCUGCACUCUGGGACAAGCCCUGGAAACGGGGUCUAAUACCGGAUACGAGUUUCACAGGCAUCUGUGAUUCUGGAAAGCUCCGGCGGUGCAGGAUGAGCCCGCGGCCUAUCAGCUUGUUGGUGAGGUAACGGCUCACCAAGGCGACGACGGGUAGCCGGCCUGAGAGGGCGACCGGCCACACUGGGACUGAGACACGGCCCAGACUCCUACGGGAGGCAGCAGUGGGGAAUAUUGCACAAUGGGCGCAAGCCUGAUGCAGCGACGCCGCGUGAGGGAUGACGGCCUUCGGGUUGUAAACCUCUUUCAGCAGGGAAGAAGCGAAAGUGACGGUACCUGCAGAAGAAGCGCCGGCUAACUACGUGCCAGCAGCCGCGGUAAUACGUAGGGCGCAAGCGUUGUCCGGAAUUAUUGGGCGUAAAGAGCUCGUAGGCGGCUUGUCGCGUCGGAUGUGAAAGCCCGGGGCUUAACCCCGGGUCUGCAUUCGAUACGGGCAGGCUAGAGUUCGGUAGGGGAGAUCGGAAUUCCUGGUGUAGCGGUGAAAUGCGCAGAUAUCAGGAGGAACACCGGUGGCGAAGGCGGAUCUCUGGGCCGAUACUGACGCUGAGGAGCGAAAGCGUGGGGAGCGAACAGGAUUAGAUACCCUGGUAGUCCACGCCGUAAACGGUGGGCACUAGGUGUGGGCAACAUUCCACGUUGUCCGUGCCGCAGCUAACGCAUUAAGUGCCCCGCC
RNAcentral lists this ribosomal RNA (793 nucleotides) under Streptomyces sp. RNAcentral describes it as "bacterial SSU rRNA". It matches the Rfam family "Bacterial small subunit ribosomal RNA", at positions 67 to 873 of the family's 1533-position model. Lineage: Bacteria; Bacillati; Actinomycetota; Actinomycetes; Kitasatosporales; Streptomycetaceae. The record is from RNAcentral.